RNAcentral lists this unclassified non-coding RNA (296 nucleotides) under uncultured Ascomycota. RNAcentral's name for it is "sequence contains ITS1". The stretch from base 1 to 105 matches the Rfam family "5.8S ribosomal RNA", at positions 50 to 154 of the family's 154-position model. Lineage: Eukaryota; Fungi; Ascomycota. The record is from RNAcentral.
GAAAUGCGAUAAGUAAUGUGAAUUGCAGAAUUCAGUGAAUCAUCGAAUCUUUGAACGCACAUUGCGCCCCGUGGUAUUCCGCGGGGCAUGCCUGUUCGAGCGUCAUUUCAACCCAUCACGCCCCGGCGUGGACUUGGGGCCUGCGUCUUCGCAGCCCUUAAACUCAGUGGCGGUGCUAUUGAGCUCUGAGCGUAGUAAAUCUUCUCGCUAUAGGGUCUCGGUAGUUGCUUGCCAACAACCCCCAAUUUUUUUAUCAGGUUGACCUCGGAUCAGGUAGGGAUACCCGCUGAACUUAA